GAUGAACGCUGGCGGCGUGCCUAAUACAUGCAAGUCGAGCGAACAGACGAGGAGCUUGCUCCUCUGACGUUAGCGGCGGACGGGUGAGUAACACGUGGAUAACCUACCUAUAAGACUGGGAUAACUUCGGGAAACCGGAGCUAAUACCGGAUAAUAUAUUGAACCGCAUGGUUCAAUAGUGAAAGACGGUUUUGCUGUCACUUAUAGAUGGAUCCGCGCCGCAUUAGCUAGUUGGUAAGGUAACGGCUUACCAAGGCGACGAUGCGUAGCCGACCUGAGAGGGUGAUCGGCCACACUGGAACUGAGACACGGUCCAGACUCCUACGGGAGGCAGCAGUAGGGAAUCUUCCGCAAUGGGCGAAAGCCUGGCGGAGCAACGCCGCGUGAGUGAUGAAGGUCUUCGGAUCGUAAAACUCUGUUAUUGGGAAAGAACAAAUGUGUAAGUAACUAUGCACGUCUUGACGGUACCUAAUCAGAAAGCCACGGCUAACUACGU
This 496-nucleotide ribosomal RNA is filed under the name uncultured bacterium. Its description in RNAcentral is "partial 16S ribosomal RNA". It matches the Rfam family "Bacterial small subunit ribosomal RNA", at positions 28 to 506 of the family's 1533-position model. The record is from RNAcentral.